This 544-nucleotide ribosomal RNA is filed under the name Coluzea cf. liriope MNHN-IM-2007-38972. Its description in RNAcentral is "partial 16S ribosomal RNA". It matches the Rfam family "Bacterial large subunit ribosomal RNA", at positions 1798 to 2613 of the family's 2925-position model. The record is from RNAcentral. Lineage: Eukaryota; Metazoa; Mollusca; Gastropoda; Neogastropoda; Columbariidae.
GCCUGUUUAUCAAAAACAUGGCUCCUUGUAAAAUAUAAAUAGGGAGUCGGACCUGCCCAGUGAGGUUUUUAACGGCCGCGGUACUCUGACCGUGCAAAGGUAGCAUAAUCAUUUGCCUUAUAAUUGAAGGCUAGUAUGAACGGUUUGACAAGAAUAUAGCUGUCUCUAUAUAAUUUAAUAGAAUUUUAUUUAUAGGUGAAGAAGCCUAUAUUAUAUUAAAAGACAAGAAGACCCUAUUGAGCUUUAAAAGAAUUAAUAGAUUUAAGUCUAAUAGCUAUUUAAAAAGCCAGCUAUUAAAAAUUUUGGUUGGGGCGACUGAGGAACAAAGAAAGCUUCCUUUAAUCCGUAAGACAUACAAGUAAUGAUCCAAAACAUUUUGAUUAAAGAAAUUAGUUACCAUAGGGAUAACAGCAUUAUCUUUUUUGAGAGCUCUAAUCGAAAAAAAGGUUUGUGACCUCGAUGUUGGACCAGAAUAUCCUGAAGAUGCAGCAGUCUUUAAAGGUUGGUCUGUUCGACCAUUAAAAUUCUACGUGAUCUGAGUUCA